This 75-nucleotide transfer RNA is filed under the name Dehalococcoidia bacterium. RNAcentral describes it as "tRNA-Ile". It matches the Rfam family "tRNA". From Rfam's summary of the family: Transfer RNA (tRNA) molecules are approximately 80 nucleotides in length. The record is from RNAcentral. Lineage: Bacteria; Bacillati; Chloroflexota; Dehalococcoidia.
GGGCCCGUAGCUCAGCGGCAGAGCGGUCGGCUCAUAACCGAUUGGUCGAUGGUUCGAAUCCGUCCGGGCCCACCA